ACAUAAUUAGCUUAGUUGGGUAAAAAACAUCACAAGAACCUUGGUUAGCUCAUAACUUAGCGUAUCUUCCUCCUAAAUCACAUAAUAAGCUCAAAAGAAGAAAAGUAUUGUAAUCAUCCUCUUACUCUUCCUCUCAUUCUUCUUCUUCUUCUUCUUCUUCUUCUCCUUCUUCUUCUCCUCCUCCUUCUUCUUCUUCUUCUUCUUCUUCUCCUCCUCCUCCUCCUCUUUCUUCUCCUUACCUUAUUUUACCCAACAAAGACAUAAUUAGCUAAUUUAUAUCCAAAAUGACAUAAUUAGCUAGUUUAACUCCAAAAUGAUAUAAUUAGCUUAGUUAGGUAAAAACAUCACAAGACCCUUGGUUAGCUCAUAACUUAGCGUAUCUUCUUCCUAAAUGACAU
RNAcentral lists this long non-coding RNA (398 nucleotides) under Hordeum vulgare. RNAcentral's name for it is "long non-coding RNA (HVUL_LNC001966)". The record is from RNAcentral. Lineage: Eukaryota; Viridiplantae; Streptophyta; Magnoliopsida; Poales; Poaceae.